This 253-nucleotide ribosomal RNA is filed under the name uncultured bacterium. RNAcentral describes it as "partial 16S ribosomal RNA". It matches the Rfam family "Bacterial small subunit ribosomal RNA", at positions 524 to 776 of the family's 1533-position model. The record is from RNAcentral.
UACGAAGGGGGCGAGCGUUGUUCGGAUUUACUGGGCGUAAAGGGCGCGCAGGCGGUUCUGUUUGUCGAGUGUGAAAGCCCCGGGCUCAACCUGGGAACUGCGCUCGAAACGGCAGAACUAGAGUUCGGGAGAGGAGAGUGGAAUUCCCAGUGUAGAGGUGAAAUUCGUAGAUAUUGGGAAGAACACCGGUGGCGAAGGCGGGUCUCUGGGCCGAAACUGACGCUGAGGAGCGAAAGCGUGGGGAGCGAACAGG